AAAAAAGCUCUUCCUCACCUCAAUACUCAAUAGUGUCUUUUCUUCUGUCGCUAACGCCACUAUGUAUUUUUUGACAGCUACAUUUAUGUUUCUUUAACAAUACCAUUAAGCAGUACAUGUGUUGAGUUGUAGGUAACACCAAAGACACGUGUAGUAGGCUAGUAGCAAACUCUCCAUUUGUUGCUUUACACUGCGAAAUUAG
Arabidopsis thaliana (thale cress) is the source of this 202-nucleotide long non-coding RNA. RefSeq annotates it as other RNA. Lineage: Eukaryota; Viridiplantae; Streptophyta; Magnoliopsida; Brassicales; Brassicaceae. The record is from RefSeq. The transcript has a single exon.